Molecule: long non-coding RNA, 203 nt
Organism: Etheostoma spectabile (orangethroat darter)
Lineage: Eukaryota; Metazoa; Chordata; Actinopteri; Perciformes; Percidae
Exons: 3
Source: RefSeq, a predicted model, not a curated record
UUAACUUUUCUAAUGUGAACCAUUUUUUGUUUAACUUAAAUACUUUACAAACACCGAAGCAAGUGAGCGCUGACUACUCUUCUGAAGUGAUUUUGGAGAGGGACAUUAUGUAGUUGUAUAUACACUGGUUGACUGACAUGACACCAUGGUAUUCAUAUAAUAUUAUCAAUCCAGGUCAAUUAUAUUAAUAAUGAAUGCAUGUU